UCCCACACUGAGACACACCAGUGACCACUAGGAGACUGGGAGGAAGCAUCGACUCCUCCUGGGAGCUUUCCUUGGGCUGUACUGCCUCAGAGAGGCAAGCCUCCACAUUGUGAGAACCCCCAUGGAGAGGGCUCACAUGGAAUGAAUGGAAGCCCCUGAACAACAGCCAGUAAGAACCAAGGGCUGCCAACAACCAUGGGAGGGAAUGUGGAAGUCUCCUCUGGUCUCGGUUGAUCCCUAAUUGAUUGUAGUUCUCCUGGAAGCUUUAUUGCAAGCCUGUGAGAAAUCCUGAGCCAGAACCAUCCAGUUCCAGCUCUUGGUUUCAGAGGCCCCUGUGGCUCUGUAUUUUCCACGUCAAACCUGCCAAAAUGAGGAAAAGUCCCCUGUACUGACUACUGCAGAAGAGGUGUUACUGGCAAUGCAACUGAAUCAUUGAUGUCUGGCGAGAUUGUAUUCGGAUUCCCAUCAACCACCUGGAACUAUAGGCCAGAUGGCCCCAGGAAAACUUGUCAACCAGGAAUAUUGUCGUCAAUGUCUAGCACUUAGAGCCACAAACGCAGAGUGGGGCUUAGAGGACACUAAUCUAGUGCCUGGCUUCCGUUCAACCUGACCCCUCGCCACCAACACAUCUUCCGGCUUCUUCUUGAACACUCCAGUGAUGAGAAGCUCAGAGCAAGAUUUGUUGUCUUCCUUAUAAUUAAUCAAAUCUCUCCCUUGAAGUUGACUCUUUGAUUCCUUUCUGGCCUCUUUCUCCACUUUCUGGGGUGCCCAGAGUUAUUUCAACUUCCAAUUGCCCAUGGCCUCUUCUGCACCUCUAGGCAGUUCCCACCAGAGGGCACUCGAAGCCCUGCUCAGACUCCUCUGCAGCUCUGUCUUCUUCCAUUUCUUCAUCCUGCUCUCUGCCUUGUGACAAGGUGUCAACCAAACUAAUAUCUGCCAAGAGAUACUUAACUGUCAUUUCAGAUUACUUAGUGCUUUAAGCCCAAAUAAAAGUAGAUAGAUAUCUAGGAAUAUAAUUGCUGUAUUAUAUGGUAAUCUUACAUUUAACAUUUCAAGAACUGCCAAACUGUUUUGCAAAGUUUGCACCACUUUAUAUUCCCACUAGCAAUGUAUGGGGGUUCUUUCUGAUUUCUUCACAUCCUC
This is a long non-coding RNA of Suricata suricatta (meerkat), 1143 nucleotides long. RefSeq lists it as uncharacterized. The transcript has 4 exons. The record is from RefSeq and is a predicted model, not a curated record. NCBI's taxonomy places the organism in Eukaryota, Metazoa, Chordata, Mammalia, Carnivora, Herpestidae.